CUAAUCCACUUGAAAAUCCUUCUUUUCUCUUGCGUUGAGAAGAAACCAAGAAGCGAAAAUCGGCACCGUUCCCGUCGCCGCCUCGUCGCCUCCGUCGCCCGUCUUCCUUUUCCGCCGAUUCGUGCCCAGCCGCGCCCACCACCACCACUCUCCUUCCCACUGGCUAGGGUUUUCGGUUUCUAGAACCUCACGCCCACCCGCCCGCCCGCUCCAUGCAAGCCCCGCCGCUCGCCGCGCUCGCCGGAGGCGCCUGGGCCUCCCAUCGACCUGCCAUAUUAGCGGCGCCGGCGAGCCUCCGCCGUCCUAGGCGCGGCGCCCUCCGGCUGCCCGCGUGGAGAGCGGCCGGAGGCGGCCGGGCCCCGCGGCUCCCGGCCAAGGGCGCCGUGCUCGCCUCCGACACGGGGGCGGACGAGGAGGUCGCCGGGCCAUCGCCCCUGCUCGACGUGCGCAGCGAGCAAGAGUUCGUUCUACGCGUCAGGAAGGAAGUGGAGAGAGGGAAGUUGCGUCCGGAUGUUGCUGACAACUUUGAAAACCUGUACUACAAUUACAAGAAUGCGGUCCUACAAAAUGGGGAUCCAAAUGCAUAUCAGAUCAUGCUUUCCAACAUGAUGGAUUUAUUUGACCGCGUUCUGCUGGAUGAAGAGAAUCCAUUUACGUUUCAGCCUUAUCACAAGGCCAUCAGAGAACCGUUUGACUAUUACACUUUCGGUCAGAACUACAUUAGGCCACUGGUAGAUUUUAGGAACUCUUAUGUCGGUAACAUUUCUGUAUUCAGUGAUAUGGAGAAGCAGCUUCGGCAGGGUCAUAAUAUUGUUCUGAUGUCUAAUCAUCAGACAGAAGCGGAUCCAGCAGUUAUUGCCUUGUCACUUGAAAGAAGCAAUCCGUGGAUUAGCGAGAACAUAGUUUAUGUUGCUGGGGAUAGGGUUCUUACAGAUCCUCUUUGCAAGCCAUUUAGCAUGGGAAGAAACCUCCUUUGUGUGUACUCAAAAAAGCAUAUGAAUGAUUUUCCUGAGCUAAUUGAGAUGAAGAGGAGGGCAAACACUCGAAGUCUCAAGGAAAUGGCUUUGCUUUUACGUGGGGGUUCACAUAUAAUUUGGAUAGCUCCAAGUGGCGGUAGAGACCGUCCUGACCCUUUGACUGGAGAAUGGCACCCGGCGCCAUUUGAUGCAUCUGCAGUGGAUAAUAUGAGGAGGCUUCUGGAGCAUUCUGGCGUUCCUGGACACAUAUAUCCAUUAUCAUUGCUAUGUUAUGAGAUUAUGCCUCCACCACAACAGAUUGAGAAAGAGAUUGGUGAGCAAAGGGUGAUAUCCUUCCAUGGUGUAGGCUUGUCAGUAGCUGAAGAAAUAAAGUAUGGGGAUGUUACUGCUCAAUCUCGGAAUGCUGAUGAGGUGGUACUGACCAAAACCUGCGACGCGUGGUCCCCAGGCAACCUUUAGACCAAGUCGUCGCUCGCAGCCGUGUAGAAUAGAGAGGUUCCACACCAUACAAAAUGAGCAAGGGGGAUAUUCUCAGAGGCUCUGUACAAUUCAGUUGUUGAUCAAUAUAAUGUCCUCAAGUCUGCUAUCUUUAGAGACCGUGGAGCAGUUUCGUCAAACCCUGCCAUCUCACUCUCGCAACCAUGGCGAUGAUAAGCUUUCUCAGGCCUGAAUUUCUCAUUUCUUUUCGACAGAGCAGAUGAACUGCUAUAGUGCAAUGUUGCGGGUUUUUGCUGGGAAGGCCUUAAACUUUGAUGUCGUCACAGUUAGGAUGAGGCUGCGACAGCGGCCCUGCAGACCCUGUAAGUUGUUGAAGUGGCGUGAAGGAAAAACCGUGUGAUAUGCUGCUACACCGUGUUCAUGUAGUGACAAGAACUCUGCGGCUGUUGUCAGUCUAAUCCUAAAUAGCACGGCGGAACCCGGCAGCAGAUGAUGCAUGUGUUCAUCUUUUGUGAAGAGCUACUGCUGUAUGAGGUGGCUAUCAUCUGGGCCAGAUUGGUCCAGCAAAUAUAGAUUUGGUCCCUAGAUCCUGGCAGGCAGUCGGCUCGAUUUUCUUUUUGUGCUAAAAGUUAACUCGUCUUAUUUUUUGAUUUGUUUCGUGUACAUAUUAAUUCUUUUGCUCCAAAAUUUGGAGACACAUGACAUGAUAUAUACAUACAGAGCCCAAUAUGUGUCGCCUUCCUA
RNA transcript from Triticum aestivum (bread wheat), 2159 nucleotides. It is a transcript of the gene named glycerol-3-phosphate acyltransferase, chloroplastic, with no coding region annotated. The transcript is spliced from 14 exons. NCBI's taxonomy places the organism in Eukaryota, Viridiplantae, Streptophyta, Magnoliopsida, Poales, Poaceae. The record is from RefSeq and is a predicted model, not a curated record.